UCCCCGGUAGCUCAGAUGGUGAAGAAUCUGCCUGCCGUGCAGGAGACCCAGGUUCAAUUCCUGGGUCGGGAA
This 72-nucleotide transfer RNA is filed under the name Bos taurus (domestic cattle). It matches the Rfam family "tRNA". From Rfam's summary of the family: Transfer RNA (tRNA) molecules are approximately 80 nucleotides in length. Their secondary structure includes four short double-helical elements and three loops (D, anti-codon, and T loops). RNAcentral also lists the same sequence under 3 other names. The record is from Rfam by way of RNAcentral. Lineage: Eukaryota; Metazoa; Chordata; Mammalia; Artiodactyla; Bovidae.